RNAcentral lists this ribosomal RNA (253 nucleotides) under uncultured bacterium. RNAcentral's name for it is "partial 16S ribosomal RNA". It matches the Rfam family "Bacterial small subunit ribosomal RNA", at positions 524 to 776 of the family's 1533-position model. The record is from RNAcentral.
UACGGAGGAUCCAAGCGUUAUCCGGAUUCAUUGGGGUUAAAGGGUGCGUAGGCGGAAUGAUAAGCCAGUGGUGAAAUCCUGCAGCUUAACUGCAGAACUGCCAUUGAUACUGUCAAUCUUGAGUACAUUUGAUGUGGGCGGAAUGUGUCAUGUAGCGGUGAAAUGCUUAGAUAUGACACAGAACACCGAUUGCGAAGGCAGCUCACAAAACUGUAACUGACGCUGAGGCACGAAAGCGUGGGUAUCAAACAGG